RNAcentral lists this ribosomal RNA (2174 nucleotides) under Triticum aestivum (bread wheat). Its description in RNAcentral is "partial small subunit ribosomal RNA". Lineage: Eukaryota; Viridiplantae; Streptophyta; Magnoliopsida; Poales; Poaceae. The record is from RNAcentral.
UUGGCAGCAGUGCUGCUGCUGGCGUUGCAGCUCCCUGCAGCGGCGGCGGCCGACGUGCGUCCGCCGCCUGACAGCUGCACCCGCAUGUGCGGCAACGUGAGCGUGCCGUACCCGUUCGGGGUCGGCCGGGCCGAAUGCUACCGGCCGGGCUUCAACCUCACCUGCCACACGAGCGGCCGGGAGGCGCCAAGGCUGCUGCUCGGCGACGGCACACUCCAACUGGCCGAGAUCUCCAUCGACAACAGCACGGUGCGGGUCAUGCGCACCGGCGACGUAAAAGUCGACGCUGCCGGCAACGGUUUGUUCGGCGGCGGCCUCGCGGAAGACGGGCCCUACACCGCUACACGCUGUCGAACUCCAGCGAGCUCGUCGCGGUGGGUUGCAACGUGUAUGCGAUCCUCCAAGAGAAGAACAAGCUCACCAUGCUGAGCGGUUGUGCCUCAUUCUGCGACGAAGUCGCUGACAAUGCAACUGAAAUGUAUAUAUUGGAACAAGGGAGUUCUCCCAGAACCAAAUACAACAUGGGCAGCUGCCAGGCGCCCCUCAUCCCCGCGUACUACGUCGGGAAUAGCGUUCCGGGCCAGGUAAAACAUUUCGGUUCGAACCGCAGAAUCGACCAAGUGUUGCCGCGGGCGAAGGUGUUCGUCGCGGAGCAGGGGUGGUUCGAUCAGAAACAUGUCUACUCUGCUUUAGUGUAUCCUCCGUUAGAAAUGGACUAUCUGUAUCAUAGACCAGAAAAUAUGGCAGUUCCAUUUCUUCUGGACUGGCUGAUCGUUGCCCAAGGUCGGCUGGCUACCACGGAGUUGACCGACGGCAAGUGCACCUCGGUCGAAGCCCGCGACGUCUGCAAGAGCAGUGAACGCAGCUGCAGGAAACCUCCUAGAGGCUAUAUUUGUUCUUGCCGGCAUGGUUACCAAGGCAAUCCUUAUAUCACCGACGGAGGUUGCCCCAAUCUCCCUUCUACUAUCUCCCGUUUAAGCAUCGAAAUAGGAGUUGGCAGUGGGGCAAGUGUUAUUGUCUUUAUUCUCAUGGUAUUUUUCAUGAUGCAAAAGUAUAAACACCAAAGGGCAACAAAAUUGAGACAUCAAUUCUUUGAGCAAAAUCGUGGUCAAUUGUUGCAAUAAUUGGUAUCUCAGAGAGCUGAUAUUGCAGAGAGAAUGAUCAUAAGUUUGGAAGAGUUAGAGAAGGCAACGAACAAUUUUGAUAAAUCUCGUGAGCUUGGUGGCGGCGGCCAUGGUACCGUCUACAAAGGGAUUUUAUCGGAUCUCCAUGUAGUUGCCAUCAAGAAGCCCAAGGUGGUGGUGCAGAAAGAGAUUGAUGAGUUUAUUAAUGAGGUUGCUAUCUUGUCUCAAGUUAAACAUAGAAUUGUGGUAAAACUCUAUGGUUGUUGCCUUGAAAUAGAGGUCCCAAUGUUGGUCUACGAGUUUGUAUCCAAUGGGACCCUUUAUGACCACCUUCAUGUUAGCUCAUUGUCGUGGGAUGACAGGCUACGCAUAGCAACUGAAACAGCCAAAUCUCUUGCUUAUCUUCACUCAUCUGUCUCAAUACCUAUCAUCCAUAGAGAUAUCAAGUCAGUUAACAUACUUUUGGAUGAUACUUUAACAGCAAAGGUAGCGGACUUUGGAGCUUCAAGGUACAUUCCAAUGGAGCAAUCAGGGGUAACAACAAUGGUGCAAGGUACAAUAGGAUAUUUAGAUUCUAUGUACUUCUACACAUCGCGACUCACAGAUAAGAGUGAUGUUUAUAGCUUUGGUAUCAUUCUUGUAGAACUGUUGACUCGAAAGAAGCCCUUUUCAUACAUGUCCUCUGGAGGUGAUAGCCUUGUUGCAAAUUUUGUUAGCCUGCUUGCAGAAGGCAGCUUAUUGCAGAUAUUAGAUCCACGAGUGAUUGAAGAGGGAGGCAUAGAAGUUGAAGAAGUUGCUAAGUUUGCGGUAACAUGUGUGAAAAUUAAAGGAGAGGAUCGUCCAACCAUGAGGCAAGUGGAAAUGACACUAGAAGGCCUUGAAACAUCCAUGGACCGUGUUCUAGAUGGUCAAGUGGCCGGGGAAUUUGAGAAGGGUGACGUUGCAAUAUUUCGACCAGCUACUAAUAGUGAUAAAAGAAACAAUGAUGAUUCAACAAGACAAUACAUCUUAAAAGAUGAGUUUAUGUUAUCCUCAAGGUACCCUCUGUAG